CAAAGAUCGAUGCUUGACUGAACUUGCAGGUGUGGCCUACCUACCGAGCUUAUCAGCUGAUUUUUGAGAAGUAUGAUCUUCACGGACCUCUUAAGAAAGUGACAAGUUGAUGGGAAAGAUGGUGCAGUACCGUCGCCUUCAUAUAGAUGGCUCCUCGCACGGCAACGCAGGUGAUUUUGGAGGUAGGGACUUCUGCAGGGGGCCAAUGGUGAGCUGCUUUUUGCCUUCUCUGAUGUUUAUGGACAGGGACCCAAUGUCUGAGAAGAAGGCUGCACAAUUGUGGAGGGGCUCAGGAUUUGUGUGGAGUGGAUUUUUAAAAGGAUUCAAAUUGAAACUGACUCCAGAGUCUUUGUAGAUAUACUCAAUUCGAAAGGAACUUCCAAUUGAAACUAAUGGUAUUGGAGGGCCCAUAUUGAGUCUCUAAGGAAGGAUAGAGAGGUCGUCAUUGUCUUUGCCCAUAGUGAAGUAAAUGAGGUAGCGGAUGCUUUGGCAAAACUAGAGAGCCUCACUCAAGAGUAGAGGGUCCUUGAAGAGUCCAGUCAUCCCCACCUCAUCUGGGGUUUACUAUUUCUAAAUUGGGUGGGUUUGGGUCAAAGUUAGAGAAAGAUUCCGUCCACUUAAUUUCAUUGUAGGCUGUAGAGUCGAUCAUGAUAGGCGACCUGAGGCGAAAUUUGGGGGUUGCCUGAAGGUCCCCUUAUUGUACAACCCUUUUUGUGAAUAAAUUUUCUUUUCUUUUCUCCAAAACAAAAAA
Molecule: long non-coding RNA, 751 nt
Organism: Magnolia sinica
Lineage: Eukaryota; Viridiplantae; Streptophyta; Magnoliopsida; Magnoliales; Magnoliaceae
Exons: 2
Source: RefSeq, a predicted model, not a curated record